UACAUAGGUGGCAAGCGUUGUCCGGAUUUACUGGGCGUAAAGAGCGCGCAGGCGGUCGUUCAAGUCGAGUGUGAAAGCCCCCGGCUCAACUGGGGAGGGUCACUCGAUACUGAUCGACUCGAAGGCAGAAGAGGGAAGCGGAAUUCCCGGUGUAGUGGUGAAAUGCGUAGAUAUCGGGAGGAACACCAGUGGCGAAGGCGGCUUUCUGGUCUGCUCUUGACGCUGAGGCGCGAAAGCUAGGGUAGCAAACGGG
RNAcentral lists this ribosomal RNA (253 nucleotides) under uncultured bacterium. RNAcentral's name for it is "partial 16S ribosomal RNA". It matches the Rfam family "Bacterial small subunit ribosomal RNA", at positions 524 to 776 of the family's 1533-position model. The record is from RNAcentral.